Long non-coding RNA from Cajanus cajan (pigeon pea), 621 nucleotides. RefSeq lists it as uncharacterized. Lineage: Eukaryota; Viridiplantae; Streptophyta; Magnoliopsida; Fabales; Fabaceae. The record is from RefSeq and is a predicted model, not a curated record.
UUCGGCAAAAGAUUUGGGUAUCUCUCCACUCAAGCCAUUGUAACUCAAAUCUCUACAGCAACGAAGAUAAAUAAAUGAACUAUUUUAUCAUGCUUGAUAGUUGUCUUUAUAAUCUUCCUCCAGCAUUCACAAGUUUCAUUAUUACUCAAAGAGACAGGCAUGAAUAGCAAGGUCUAUGUUAGAAGUUCAAAAGAGACACAUAGAUCACUAGAGCAACAACCAUUCAACUUUGAAAAAUUAAUCUACACAGCAAAGACAAUCUGUUUCAUUUACACAAGAAUUUCAACGUAAAGUACAAUCAUAGGAGGAGAUGAUAAGAGUACUUAUGCCAAAAUUACUAGUUGUUAACCUGAUGCACACCACUGCUUGCUUUGUAUAUUUUCCUACUACUUUGGAGCAACAUUUUCUGUAUAUUUGGGCAGAAAUAAGAUCAAGGGAGAUAAGUUGUUCUGUUCUGCAAACUAUUUCUUAGACUUAGAGCUAUUUUAGAUAAGGACUAAAGAGAAAAUAAUUCAUCAUUUUUCUUUGUCUCCUUGUCUUAACAUUUUAGUUUACUGUUUUCUUGCAUUUCAAGUUUUUGUUUCUCCUCUUUGAAUGAAGUUUCAUGGUAAUUAUUAUUUA